Molecule: ribosomal RNA, 400 nt
Filed under: uncultured soil bacterium
Lineage: Bacteria
Description: bacterial SSU rRNA
Rfam family: Bacterial small subunit ribosomal RNA
Source: RNAcentral
CUACUCUUGACAUCCAGAGAAUUUAGCAGAGAUGCUUUGGUGCCUUCGGGAACUCUGAGACAGGUGCUGCAUGGCUGUCGUCAGCUCGUGUUGUGAAAUGUUGGGUUAAGUCCCGCAACAAGCGCAACCCUUAUCCUUUGUUGCCAGCGGUUCGGCCGGGAACUCAAAGGAGACUGCCAGUGAUAAACUGGAGGAAGGUGGGAAUGACGUCAAGUCAUCAUGGCCCUUACGAGUAGGGCUACACACGUGCUACAAUGGCAUAUACAAAGAGAAGCGACCUCGCGAGAGCAAGCGGACCUCAUAAAGUAUGUCGUAGUCCGGAUUGGAGUCUGCGACUCGACUCCAUGAAGUCGGAAUCGCUAGUAAUCGUAGAUCAGAAUGCUACGGUGAAUACGUUCCC